GAUGAACGCUAGCGGCAUGCCUAACACAUGCAAGUCGAGGGGUAGAAGGAGCUUGCUCCUUUGAGACCGGCGCACGGGUGCGUAACGCGUAUGCAAUCUACCUUGUACAGGGGAAUAGCCCAGAGAAAUUUGGAUUAAUGCCCCAUAGUAUAUAACCUUCGCAUGUUGGUUAUAGUAAAGUUCCAACGGUACAAGAUGAGGCUGCGUCCCAUUAGUUAGUUGGUAAGGUAACGGCUUACCAAGACGAUGUUGGGGAGGGGUCCUGAGAGGGAGAUCCCCCAGACUGGUACCGAGACACGGACCAGAAUGCUACGGGAGGCAGCAGUACGGAAUAUUGGUGAAUGGUCGAAAGACUAAACCAGCCAUGCCGCGUGCAGGAAGACGGUGCUAUGGAUUGUAAACUGCUUUUAUAGAAGAAGAAACGCUCCCACGUGUGGGAGCUUGACGGUACUGUAGGAAUAAGGAUCGGCUAACUACGUG
Molecule: ribosomal RNA, 480 nt
Filed under: uncultured bacterium
Lineage: Bacteria
Description: partial 16S ribosomal RNA
Rfam family: Bacterial small subunit ribosomal RNA
Source: RNAcentral